CCGAGUUGAUUCGAGCUCCGGCUCGACUCUCCCACCCUCUGUGUACCUUACCUCUGUUGCUUUGGCGGGCCGCGGUCCUCCGCGGCUGGCCCCCCUCGCUGGGGGCUGGCCCGCGCCCGCCAGAGGACUCCAAAACUCCAGUCAGUAAACGUCUCAGUCUGAAAAACAAGUUAAUAAACUA
Molecule: unclassified non-coding RNA, 181 nt
Filed under: uncultured fungus
Lineage: Eukaryota; Fungi
Also listed under: 1 other name
Description: sequence contains ITS1, 5.8S rRNA gene
Source: RNAcentral